Molecule: transfer RNA, 75 nt
Filed under: Candidatus Pelagibacter communis
Lineage: Bacteria; Pseudomonadati; Pseudomonadota; Alphaproteobacteria; Candidatus Pelagibacterales; Candidatus Pelagibacteraceae
Also listed under: 3 other names
Description: tRNA-Val
Rfam family: tRNA
About the family: Transfer RNA (tRNA) molecules are approximately 80 nucleotides in length. Their secondary structure includes four short double-helical elements and three loops (D, anti-codon, and T loops).
Source: RNAcentral
GGGGGCUUAGCUCAAUAGUAGAGUGUUUCAUUGACAUUGAAAAAGUAGACGGAGCGUAACCGUCAGUCCCCACCA